UGCCAGCCGCCGCGGUAAUACGGGGGGAGCAAACGUUGUUCGGAAUCACUGGGCGUAAAGGGCGCGUAGGCGGCCCGACAAGUGGUGUGUGAAAUGCCCUGGCUCAACCAGGGAACUGCGCCCCAAACUGUCGGGCUUGAGGUCAGUAGAGGAAGCUGGAAUUCCAGGUGUAGCGGUGAAAUGCGUAGAUAUCUGGAGGAACACCGUUGGCGAAGGCGAGCUUCUGGGCUGCACCUGACGCUGAGGCGCGAAAGCUGGGGGAGCAAACAGGAUUAGAUA
Molecule: ribosomal RNA, 279 nt
Filed under: uncultured bacterium
Lineage: Bacteria
Description: partial 16S ribosomal RNA
Rfam family: Bacterial small subunit ribosomal RNA
Source: RNAcentral